UGACAAAAUUUAUGUUCUUGGCCUUAAG
This 28-nucleotide small RNA is filed under the name Bombyx mori (domestic silkworm). Its description in RNAcentral is "ovarian small RNA-31268". The record is from RNAcentral. Lineage: Eukaryota; Metazoa; Arthropoda; Insecta; Lepidoptera; Bombycidae.